AGUCAUAUGCUUGUCUCAAAGAUUAAGCCAUGCAUGUCUAAGUAUAAACAACUUUAUACUGUAAAACUGCGAACGGCUCAUUAUAUCAGCAAUUAUUUAUUUGAUGGUUUCUUACUACAUGGAUAACCGUAGUAAUUCUAGAGCUAAUACAUGCGUAAAGUCCCGACUCUCGCGGGGAGGGAUGUAUUUAUUAGAUUAAAAACCAAUGCGGCCUUUGGUCGGACUUGUGUUGAUUCAUAGUAACUUUUCGGAUCGCAGGGCUUCACGCCGGCGACAGUUCAUUCAAAUUUCUGCCCUAUCAGCUUUCGACGGUAGUGUAGUGGACUACCGUGGCAUUUAC
RNAcentral lists this ribosomal RNA (340 nucleotides) under uncultured eukaryote. Its description in RNAcentral is "SSU rRNA". It matches the Rfam family "Eukaryotic small subunit ribosomal RNA", at positions 22 to 356 of the family's 1831-position model. The record is from RNAcentral.